GCCGGAUUAGCCUAGUGGUAGGGCGUAGCUUUCCUAUCCAGGAAAUCAUAAGGCUGAGGUCGUGGGUUCGAACCCCACAUUCGGUU
Molecule: non-coding RNA, 86 nt
Organism: Tulasnella sp. 332
Lineage: Eukaryota; Fungi; Basidiomycota; Agaricomycetes; Cantharellales; Tulasnellaceae
Source: the annotation of a GenBank genome assembly